This is a non-coding RNA of Podarcis lilfordi (Lilford's wall lizard), 79 nucleotides long. Lineage: Eukaryota; Metazoa; Chordata; Lepidosauria; Squamata; Lacertidae. The record is from the annotation of a GenBank genome assembly.
GGUCAGUUGGGAUAGCUCAGUUGGUUAGAGCAUGGUACUGAUAAUGCCGAGGUUGCAAGUUUGAUCCCUGUAUUGGCUA